GUGAAGGAGAAGGGGACAGGGAGAUCCACUCACCAAGAUUGGAAGUGAUCUCCCCUGCGCCUAUGGCUUCUACAAACUGGCAAUGCCUGAAUCAAUGUCUGUGGUCCAAAACUUUCUCCCAAGCUCCAUAUUGAAAGAUCCAACUGCCUGUGUGGCACCUCUACUGAGAAGACUCACAGGAGAAAACCAGCCACCAUGUCUUGGGGACACUCAAGCAACUCGUGGAGAAGUCCACACAGCGACAAACUGAGUUCUCCUGCCAACACCCAGCACCAGCUCACCGGCCAUGUGGCUGAGCCACCUUGAAAAUGGAUCAUCCAGCCCAAUUCCAGCCGUCAGUUGAUUUCAGCCUUGACUGACAUCUUGACUACAUGUAUACUUACAUGAGAUCCUGAGCCAUACCUACCCAGAGAAGCCACUCGCACAUUCCAGACAUAUAAAAAAUGUACUACAGGUGGUGGCCUGAAACUGCUGACCAACGCUGCCCGUAAUUUAUUGAAGUCAUGAACAAACGACCACGCUGGGUGGGCAGGAAACGAUGAAGAUAAAGCCAUAUGUGCUGAGCUUUCUAUUGGGAUCAAAUAAAAUGUACA
Molecule: non-coding RNA, 593 nt
Organism: Microcebus murinus (gray mouse lemur)
Lineage: Eukaryota; Metazoa; Chordata; Mammalia; Primates; Cheirogaleidae
Source: RefSeq, a predicted model, not a curated record